AAUGAUGUCUAAGAUGCCACGAGGCUUGCACCCGUACAACAAUUCAAAUGGGGAAAACACUGUGGAGGCUUG
Molecule: non-coding RNA, 72 nt
Organism: Pangasianodon gigas (Mekong giant catfish)
Lineage: Eukaryota; Metazoa; Chordata; Actinopteri; Siluriformes; Pangasiidae
Source: the annotation of a GenBank genome assembly